Homo sapiens (human) is the source of this 796-nucleotide long non-coding RNA. Ensembl annotates it as EDRF1 divergent transcript. Its record names the gene EDRF1-DT. The record is from Ensembl. NCBI's taxonomy places the organism in Eukaryota, Metazoa, Chordata, Mammalia, Primates, Hominidae.
AGUGCGCCUGCGCUUGUCCGAACCUCUUCGGGAGACUACUUCUCGCGGUAUCUGACUCCUAGGCUCCGCCCUCUGCACGCCGCUCACGGCUGGGAAGUUCAAGCACAUGGCUCUAGCUUCUGGUGAGAGGUUUCAGGCUGCGUCAUAAUAUGGCAGAGAAGAUCAAUGGGUAAAUGGACAUGUGUGAAGAAAGGCAAAACCAGAGACCGUCCAGGCUGGACUUGAACUCCUUCCUCGGCUGAAGUGAUCCUCCUGCCUCAGCGUCCUGAAUAGGAAGUGGAGCCAGAAUCCACAGAUGUCAUUAUCCAUCUGCACACUUUGUUUACUACCCAGAAGGCAAGAAUAUUGCAUUUUAAAAGUGCCCGGACUUUUGUUCUUUCUUAUCACAAAUGACUUGGGAAGCUCCGACCACUCAUGUUUACCCCGAGUGAAAGUCCCAUUCAAAGCCUUGCUUCCUGGAGAGCUUUGAGAUUCUGGUACAAAAGGCAUUUUAUAAGCACAAAGUGGAAAAGCAUCAUUCAUAUUCAUUUGCUGCUGCGGCAUUUCUCCCUGGAAUCUUCCUCUUGUCUGUCAACAUUGGGCAAAAGGACUGGCCUCAUCUACAUUACAGAUAUCCUUGUGAUGGUCUGGAGGUAGGAAAAGGACACCCAGCACAAGAGUGAGAAGGGAAACUCAAGCUCUCCUGUUGGAGAGUCUCAGGCUUCUUUAUCCAUAAAACUGAUUGGACAUAAUUGGUGUGGGUUUAUGAUUUGUUUUGGAAAAACCUGAGUAUGAAAUCAAUACUGUGCUUUGUGCA